CCUACGGGGGGCAGCAGUAGGGAAUCUUCCACAAUGGGCGAAAGCCUGAUGGAGCAACGCCGCGUGGGUGAAGAAGGUCUUCGGAUCGUAAAACCCUGUUGUUAGAGAAGAAAGUGCGUGAGAGUAACUGUUCACGUUUCGACGGUAUCUAACCAGAAAGCCACGGCUAACUACGUGCCAGCAGCCGCGGUAAUACGUAGGUGGCAAGCGUUAUCCGGAUUUAUUUGGCGUAAAGGGAACGCAGGCGGUCUUUUAAGUCUGAUGUGAAAGCCUUCGGCUUAACCGGAGUAGUGCAUUGGAAGCUGGGAGACUUGAGUGCAGAAGAGGAGAGUGGAACUCCAUGUGUAGCGGUGAAAUGCGUAGAUAUAUGGAAGAACACCAGUGGCGAAAGCGGCUCUCUGGUCUGUAACUGACGCUGAGGUUCGAAAGCGUGGGUAGCAAACAGGAUUAGAUACCCCUGUAGUC
RNAcentral lists this ribosomal RNA (465 nucleotides) under uncultured bacterium. Its description in RNAcentral is "partial 16S ribosomal RNA". It matches the Rfam family "Bacterial small subunit ribosomal RNA", at positions 338 to 795 of the family's 1533-position model. The record is from RNAcentral.